This 216-nucleotide ribosomal RNA is filed under the name Glomeromycotina sp. RNAcentral's name for it is "partial small subunit ribosomal RNA". The stretch from base 40 to 216 matches the Rfam family "Eukaryotic small subunit ribosomal RNA", at positions 686 to 864 of the family's 1831-position model. The record is from RNAcentral. Lineage: Eukaryota; Fungi; Glomeromycota.
GGGUCAGUAGGUUGGUCGUGCCACCGGUACGUACUGGUCUCACUGAUUCCUCCUUCCUGAAGAACCGUAAUGCCAUUAAUUUGGUGUUGCGGGGAAACAGGACUGUUACUUUGAAAAAAUUAGAGUGUUUAAAGCAGGCUAACGCUUGAAUACAUUAGCAUGGAAUAAUGGAAUAGGACGAUCGAUCCUAUUUUGUUGGUUCCUAGGAUUGACGUA